AGCGAACGCUGGCGGCAGGCUUAACACAUGCAAGUCGAGCGGACCUUUCGGGGUCAGCGGCGGACGGGUGAGUAACGCGUGGGAACGUGCCUUCCGGUUCGGAAUAACCCUGGGAAACUAGGGCUAAUACCGGAUACGCCCUUAUGGGGAAAGGUUUACUGCCGGAAGAUCGGCCCGCGUCUGAUUAGCUGGUUGGUGGGGUAACGGCCUACCAAGGCGACGAUCAGUAGCUGGUCUGAGAGGAUGAUCAGCCACACUGGGACCGAGACACGGCCCAGACUCCUACGGGAGGCAGCAGUGGGGAAUAUUGGACAAUGGGCGCAAGCCUGAUCCAGCCAUGCCGCGUGAGUGAUGAAGGCCUUAGGGUUGUAAAGCUCUUUUAUCCGGGACGAUAAUGACGGUACCGGAGGAAUAAGCCCCGGCUAACUUCGUGCCAGCAGCCGCAGUAA
Molecule: ribosomal RNA, 449 nt
Filed under: uncultured bacterium
Lineage: Bacteria
Description: partial 16S ribosomal RNA
Rfam family: Bacterial small subunit ribosomal RNA
Source: RNAcentral